GAUGAGCCCGCGUUGGAUUAGCUAGUUGGUGGGGUAAAGGCCUACCAAGGCGACGAUCCAUGGCUGGUCUGAGAGGAUGAUCAGCCACAUUGGGACUGAGACACGGCCCAAACUCCUACGGGAGGCAGCAGUGGGGAAUAUUGGACAAUGGGCGCAAGCCUGAUCCAGCCAUGCCGCGUGAGUGAUGAAGGUCUUAGGAUUGUAAAGCUCUUUCACCGGGGACGAUAAUGACGGUACCCGGAGAAGAAGCCCCGGCUAACUUCGUGCCAGCAGCCGCGGUAAUACGAAGGGGGCUAGCGUUGUUCGGAAUUACUGGGCGUAAAGCGCACGUAGGCGGAUAUUUAAGUCAGGGGUGAAAUCCCGGGGCUCAACCCCGGAACUGCCUUUGAUACUGGGUAUCUUGAGUGUGGUAGAGGUGAGUGGAAUUGCGAGUGUAGAGGUGAAAUUCGUAGAUAUUCGCAGGAACACCAGUGGCGAAGGCGGCUCACUGGACCACAACUGACGCUCAGGUGCGAAAGCGUGGGGAGCAAACAGGAUUAGAUACCCUGGUAGUCCACGCC
RNAcentral lists this ribosomal RNA (560 nucleotides) under uncultured bacterium. RNAcentral describes it as "bacterial SSU rRNA". It matches the Rfam family "Bacterial small subunit ribosomal RNA", at positions 224 to 801 of the family's 1533-position model. The record is from RNAcentral.